CCCCCCACCCCCCUACCCGGCCACCCUUGUCUACCGGACCUGUUGCCUCGGCGGGCCUGCAGCGAUGCUGCCGGGGGAGCUUCUCCUCCCCGGGCCCGUGUCCGCCGGGGACACCGCAAGAACCGUCGGUGAACGAUUGGCGUCUGAGCAUGAGAGCGAUAAUAAUCCAGUCAAAACUUUCAACAACGGAUCUCUUGGUUCCGACAUCGAUGAAGAACGCAGCGAAAUGCGAUAAGUAAUGUGAAUUGCAGAAUUCCGUGAAUCAUCGAAUCUUUGAACGCACAUUGCGCCCCCUGGUAUUCCGGGGGGCAUGCCUGUCCGAGCGUCAUUGCAACCCUCAAGCGCGGCUUGUGUGUUGGGCCGUCGUCCCCCCUCGACCGGCGGGACGUGCCCGAAAUGCAGUGGCGGUGUCGAGUUCCGGUGCCCGA
This 428-nucleotide unclassified non-coding RNA is filed under the name Histoplasma capsulatum. Its description in RNAcentral is "partial contains ITS1, 5.8S rRNA, ITS2". The stretch from base 175 to 328 matches the Rfam family "5.8S ribosomal RNA". The record is from RNAcentral. Lineage: Eukaryota; Fungi; Ascomycota; Eurotiomycetes; Onygenales; Ajellomycetaceae.